Molecule: RNase P RNA, 335 nt
Filed under: human gut metagenome
Description: Bacterial RNase P class B
Rfam family: Bacterial RNase P class B
About the family: Ribonuclease P (RNase P) is a ubiquitous endoribonuclease, found in archaea, bacteria and eukarya as well as chloroplasts and mitochondria. Its best characterised activity is the generation of mature 5'-ends of tRNAs by cleaving the 5'-leader elements of precursor-tRNAs.
Source: RNAcentral
UGACAAAUGCUGCAUUCAAGUAAUGUAGAGGAAAGUCCAUGCUCACACAAACUGAGAUGUUUGUAGUGUUCACGCUAGGGGAAAAAAUAACCCUAGGUAGCAAGUUUGCUAACGGCUCCGAAACAACCUAAGUUUUUAAUAUGGUUAGACUAGGUAUAAAAGUGCCAAAGUGACGAAGAAUCCAGAAAUGGAGGAAGUGGAACGUGGUAAACCCCGUGAGUGAGAAACCCAAAUUUUGGUAGGGGAGCUUCAGUAGAGAAUUGAAUCAAUCUGAGGACUGGAAACAGUAGAUAAAUAUUUGUCGCUUCGAAAGAAGAACAGAACAUGGCUUAUAA